UCGGUUGAUCCUGCCGGAGGUCACCGCUAUUGGAGUACGAUUAAGCCAUGCGAGUCGAGAGUCCUCGGGACUCGGCGGACCGCUCAGUAACACGUAGAUAAUCUGUCCUUAGGUGGGGGAUAACCUCGGGAAACUGAGAAUAAUACCCCAUAGGUCUAGAAUGCUGGAAUGCUUCUAUACUUAAAAUUCCGAUGCCUAAGGGUGAGUCUGCGGCCUAUCAGGUAGUAGUGAGUGUAAAGGACUCACUAGCCGACGACGGGUACGGGCCUUGAGAGAGGUUGCCCGGAGAUGGAAUCUGAGACACGAUUCCAGGCCCUACGGGGCGCAGCAGGCGCGAAAACUUCACACUGUGGGAAACCACGAUGAGGGAACUCCAAGUGCUUAUACAUUGUAUAAGCUGUUUAGUAGCCUAAAAAGCUAUUAGAGUAAGAGCUGGGUAAGACGGGUGCCAGCCGCCGCGGUAAUACCUGCAGCUCGAGUGGUGAUCGUUAUUAUUGGGCCUAAAACGUCCGUAGCCGGUCUUAUAAAUGCCUGGGUAAAUCGUAUGGCUUAACCAUACGAAUUCCGGGUAGACUGUUUGACUUGAGACCGGGAGAAGCUAGAGGUACUCCUGNGUAGAGGUGAAAUUCUGUAAUCCUANGGGGACCACCAGUGGCGAAGGCGUCUAGCUAGAACGGGUCUGACGGUGAGGGACGAAGCCCUGGGGCGCAAACGGGAUUAGAUACCCCGGUAGUCCAGGGUGUAAACGCUGCUUGCUUGAUGNUAGUCUGGCUCCNANNCAGAUUANUGUCGGAGAGAAGUUGUUAGCAANNUGCCUGGGAAGUACGGCCGCAAGACUGAAACUUAAAGGNAUNGCGGGG
RNAcentral lists this ribosomal RNA (860 nucleotides) under uncultured archaeon. RNAcentral's name for it is "bacterial SSU rRNA". It matches the Rfam family "Archaeal small subunit ribosomal RNA", at positions 4 to 872 of the family's 1478-position model. The record is from RNAcentral.